GUAUUCACUUUGGCAGCACAUAAAGUAAAAUUGGAAUGAUACAGAGAAGAUUAGCAUGUUCCCUGAGCAAGGAUGAUGUACAGAUUCGGGGAGCGUUCUUUAUUUUU
Sorex araneus (European shrew) is the source of this 107-nucleotide small nuclear RNA. NCBI's taxonomy places the organism in Eukaryota, Metazoa, Chordata, Mammalia, Eulipotyphla, Soricidae. The record is from Ensembl.